GCACAAAAUAUAUUAAAUUUCAACACACAAGGACCUUCAUCGAGACGAUGCGAAGGAGCUGCGCUGUCAGAUCCAACCCCCGUUCAUGCGCUCAGGACCGACGAAAUCGAAUAGAUCCGUCGAUCGGCAGCAGCGGGGAAAUUGAAAAACGCAACUUGGUAUAUCAAUGAAGAUUAUAAAUGGGGUUGCUAACAAGUUCCGAAUGCAACGUAGAACCACCAAGCACGUCAGCAGUGAACACAUCAAAGACGUUGUUAUCCUAUAUAGAGAUAUUACAAGAUAACGAUUAUUAAAUUGUCUGCUAUUAUGUGACAUAUAUUUUUAUGUACGCUUCUUUAUUCAAAGAUAAAACUUUCCAUGGAUCUAUA
Molecule: long non-coding RNA, 368 nt
Organism: Formica exsecta
Lineage: Eukaryota; Metazoa; Arthropoda; Insecta; Hymenoptera; Formicidae
Exons: 2
Source: RefSeq, a predicted model, not a curated record